RNAcentral lists this ribosomal RNA (427 nucleotides) under uncultured Bacillus sp. RNAcentral describes it as "bacterial SSU rRNA". It matches the Rfam family "Bacterial small subunit ribosomal RNA", at positions 353 to 772 of the family's 1533-position model. The record is from RNAcentral. Lineage: Bacteria; Bacillati; Bacillota; Bacilli; Caryophanales; Bacillaceae.
AGUAGGGAAUCUUCCGCAAUGGACGAAAGUCUGACGGAGCAACGCCGCGUGAACGAUGAAGGCCUUCGGGUCGUAAAGUUCUGUUGUUAGGGAAGAACAAGUACCGGAGUAACUGCCGGUACCUUGACGGUACCUAACCAGAAAGCCACGGCUAACUACGUGCCAGCAGCCGCGGUAAUACGUAGGUGGCAAGCGUUGUCCGGAAUUAUUGGGCGUAAAGCGCGCGCAGGCGGUUCCUUAAGUCUGAUGUGAAAGCCCCCGGCUCAACCGGGGAGGGUCAUUGGAAACUGGGGAACUUGAGUACUGAAGAGGAAAGCGGAAUUCCACGUGUAGCGGUGAAAUGCGUAGAGAUGUGGAGGAACACCAGUGGCGAAGGCGGCUUUCUGGUCAGUAACUGACGCUGAGGCGCGAAAGCGUGGGGAGCAAA